RNAcentral lists this ribosomal RNA (550 nucleotides) under uncultured bacterium. RNAcentral describes it as "bacterial SSU rRNA". It matches the Rfam family "Bacterial small subunit ribosomal RNA", at positions 355 to 896 of the family's 1533-position model. The record is from RNAcentral.
UAGGGAAUCUUCGGCAAUGGACGGAAGUCUGACCGAGCAACGCCGCGUGAGUGAAGAAGGUUUUCGGAUCGUAAAGCUCUGUUGUAAGAGAAGAACGAGUGUGAGAGUGGAAAGUUCACACUGUGACGGUAUCUUACCAGAAAGGGACGGCUAACUACGUGCCAGCAGCCGCGGUAAUACGUAGGUCCCGAACGUUGUCCGGAUUUAUUGGGCGUAAAGCGAGCGCAGGCGGUUAGAUAAGUCUGAAGUUAAAGGCUGUGGCUUAACCAUAGUAGGCUUUGGAAACUGUUUAACUUGAGUGCAAGAGGGGAGAGUGGAAUUCCAUGUGUAGCGGUGAAAUGCGUAGAUAUAUGGAGGAACACCGGUGGCGAAAGCGGCUCUCUGGCUUGUAACUGACGCUGAGGCUCGAAAGCGUGGGGAGCAAACAGGAUUAGAUACCCUGGUAGUCCACGCUGUAAACGAUGAGUGCUAGGUGUUAGACCCUUUCCGGGGUUUAGUGCCGUAGCUAACGCAUUAAGCACUCCGCCUGGGGAGUACGACCGCAAGGUUG